RNAcentral lists this ribosomal RNA (253 nucleotides) under uncultured bacterium. RNAcentral's name for it is "partial 16S ribosomal RNA". It matches the Rfam family "Bacterial small subunit ribosomal RNA", at positions 524 to 776 of the family's 1533-position model. The record is from RNAcentral.
UACGGAGGGUGCAAGCGUUAUCCGGAUUUACUGGGUUUAAAGGGUGCGUAGGUGGGCAGGUAAGUCAGUGGUGAAAUCUUCAAGCUUAACUUGGAAACUGCCGUUGAUACUAUCAUUCUUGAAUAUCGUGGAGGUGAGCGGAAUAUGUCAUGUAGCGGUGAAAUGCUUAGAUAUGACAUAGAACACCGAUUGCGAAGGCAGCUCACUACACGAUCAUUGACACUGAGGCACGAAAGCGUGGGGAGCAAACAGG